Choloepus didactylus (southern two-toed sloth) is the source of this 1865-nucleotide long non-coding RNA. RefSeq lists it as uncharacterized. The record is from RefSeq and is a predicted model, not a curated record. NCBI's taxonomy places the organism in Eukaryota, Metazoa, Chordata, Mammalia, Pilosa, Megalonychidae. The transcript has 3 exons.
CACCGCGGACGGCACGGCCCGGGACGUCUUCUGCUUCUCCUCAUUCUCUGAAAGUGGGAAACUAGGGAAAAUGGAAGGUGCAGUGGCUGGAGGCUAAAGCAAGAAGUGAAGAUGGAAGGCCACUCAAAAUCUAGGUCCCUGUCCAGCAUUGUUUCUGACCAAGGAACACACUUCACCACAAGUGGGCCGAUGUUCACAGAAUUCACUGGUCUUACGAUGUUUUCCAUCACUGUGAAGCAGUUGGUUUGAUAUGAUGCUGGAAUGACCUCUUAAAGACACGGUCACAACAUCAACUAGGUGAGUACCUUGCAGGUUUGGGAAAACAUCAUCCAGGAGUCUGUAUAUACUUUAAAUUAGUGUUCAUUAUAUGGUGCUAUUUCUCCCAUAGCCAGGGUUCAUGGGUCCAGGAAUCAACAGAUGGAAAUUGGAUUGGCUCUGAACAACAUUACUGUUAGUGAUCCAGUAGCAAGAUUUUUGCCUUCUACCUCUAUGAUCUGAAGCUCUGUUGGUCAAAAAAUCUUAGUUCCUAAAGAGGAGUGCUUCAACCAGGAUACACAACAAUGAAUCUAUUAACUAGAGGCAGAGACUGCCACUCGGCCACUUUGGGCUCCUCAUGCAUCUGAAUCAACAGGCAAAUAAAGAAGUUAUUGUAUUGAUUGGGGUGAUUGAUCCUGAUUACCAAAGGGAAAUUGAGUUGCGACUGCACUGAGAUAAGGAAGAGUAUGUUUGGAAUACAGAAAAUCCUUUAGGGGGUCUCUUAAUGCUACCAGACCCUGUGAUUAAAGUCAAUGGAAAACCUCAAAAAUCCCAUUCAGGCAGGACUGCUAAUGGCCCCAGCCCUUCAGAAAUUGGUGUUUGGGACACCCUACCAGGCACAAUACCAUGACCAGUUGUGGUACUUGCUGAGAGCAAAGGGAACAUGGAAUGGGUAGUGGAAGAAGGUCAUUAUAAACCAAGGCACGUGUUGCUGAAAUAAGAACUUCUCCUUAUUUCUUCCUUAUAUUGUUAUUUGAGUAUGAGUAUUUAUGAGUCUUUCUUUCUUAUUUUGUUAUGAAAAUGUGUGUAUAAUAACCAAAUAUUUUUAUUUUCUGUCCUUUUUUAUUCCCUCAUCAUCCAACAUAAGAUGCAUUAAUAAUAUUUCACUUUAGAUCCCAGUAUUUAAAAUACUGGUUAUCAAGGAGAAAAGUGAACAUCACCCAAGGACUUUGCAUCCUCUUUUGUGGAAAGUAUUUCAGUUGUAUGGAAGACAGGUGCAUCAUGUUGGUGGAAAUAAGACUUUGUUAUUUUCUUUAUUUGGAGAUUAAGUAUGGUUUGAGGAGAUUUGUAUGGAUGACAAGUUGAAAUGAGGUGGACCAUGAUGAUCAGUUUAGUGUCAACUUAGGCUGUAGUCCCCAGUUAUUCAAUCAAACACCAAUAUGCAUGCUGCUGUGAAGAUAAUUUGUAGAAGUGAUUAAAAUUCAUAAUAAAAUGACUUUAAGUAAAGGAGGUUACCUAGGUAAUCUGGAUGGGCCUGAAUCAAUCAGUUGAAAAAUGUUGAUCUCGGAACUGAGACUUCCCUGAAAAAAAAGAGAAAUUCUGCCUGUGGAUAGCAGCUUCAGGUGAUGCCUGGGAGUUUCAGCCUGCUCUUUCUGGGGCCCUGCCCUAGGGAUUUUGCACUUGCCUUACCAGCCUCCACAAUCAUGUAAUCAAUUUCUUGCAACAAAACAGUCUCUCUCUCCUCUCUCUUUCUCUCUUUCUCUCUCUCUUCCUCUCUUCCCCCCUUCCUCCCUCCCUUUCUCUCUAUAUUCUCUUUCUAGGAUUGAACUAUAACUGAUACAACUCUUACCAAAAAUAAAGUAAAUUAAACUACCUUAUUUACCUUGGAG